Molecule: long non-coding RNA, 460 nt
Filed under: Rattus norvegicus (Norway rat)
Lineage: Eukaryota; Metazoa; Chordata; Mammalia; Rodentia; Muridae
Description: long non-coding RNA NONRATT020246
Source: RNAcentral
AAGCACAUUGGCACAGGGGAAUAUGUCCUGAAUAGCACAUCAAUGGCUUAUGCUCUAAGAUCAAGAGUUGACAAAUGGGACCUCAUAAAAUUGAAAAGCUGUGUAAGGCAGAGAACACUGUCAAUAGGACAAAAUGGCAAUCCACAGAUUGGGGAAAGAUCUUUACCAAUCCUACAUCUGAUAAAGGACUAACAUUGAAAAUAUACAAAGAACUCAAGAAGUUAGACUCCCAAAUAACCCUUUAAGAAUGGAUUCCAGUUCUAAUGUUCAACAUCCUUAAUCUGCAGGGAAAUGCAGAUCAAAACAGCCCUGAGAUUCCACCUUACACCAGUCAGAAUGGCUAAGAUCAAAAACUCAGGUGAGGAUGUGCAGAAAGAGGAACACUCCUCCAUUGCUGGUGGGAUUGCAGUACACAAGAUAUGUACUCACUGAUAAGUGGAUAUUAACCAAAAAAAAAAAA